This 232-nucleotide ribosomal RNA is filed under the name uncultured bacterium. RNAcentral's name for it is "partial 16S ribosomal RNA". It matches the Rfam family "Bacterial small subunit ribosomal RNA", at positions 116 to 334 of the family's 1533-position model. The record is from RNAcentral.
CGUGGGUGACCUGCCUUCGAGUGGGGGAUAACGGUUCCGAAAGGGACGCUAAUACCGCAUGACAUCCGGCUGUUGAAGAAGCCGAGAUCAAAGCCUGGGAUCGCAAGACCAGGCGCUUGAAGAGGGGCCCGCGUCCGAUUAGCUAGUUGGUGGGGUAACGGCUCACCAAGGCAACGAUCGGUAGCCGGCCUGAGAGGGCGGACGGCCACACUGGGACUGAGACACGGCCCAG